UACGUAGGUGGCAAGCGUUAUCCGGAUUCACUGGGUUUAAAGGGUGCGUAGGUGGGUCUGUAAGUCAGUGGUGAAAUCUCCGUGCUUAACAUGGAAACUGCCAUUGAUACUAUAGGUCUUGAAUCUUCUGGAGGUUAGCGGAAUAUGUCAUGUAGCGGUGAAAUGCUUAGAUAUGACAUAGAACACCAAUUGCGAAGGCAGCUAGCUACAGGGGUAUUGACACUGAGGCACGAAAGCGUGGGGAUCAAACAGG
RNAcentral lists this ribosomal RNA (253 nucleotides) under uncultured bacterium. Its description in RNAcentral is "partial 16S ribosomal RNA". It matches the Rfam family "Bacterial small subunit ribosomal RNA", at positions 524 to 776 of the family's 1533-position model. The record is from RNAcentral.